RNAcentral lists this ribosomal RNA (384 nucleotides) under Brucella anthropi. Its description in RNAcentral is "Ochrobactrum anthropi partial 23S ribosomal RNA". It matches the Rfam family "Bacterial large subunit ribosomal RNA", at positions 23 to 253 of the family's 2925-position model. The record is from RNAcentral. Lineage: Bacteria; Pseudomonadati; Pseudomonadota; Alphaproteobacteria; Hyphomicrobiales; Brucellaceae.
GGUGGAUGCCUUGGCAUGCACAGGCGAUGAAGGACGUGAUACGCUGCGAUAAGCGUCGGGGAGGUGCGAAUACCCUUUGAUCCGACGAUUUCCGAAUGGGGCAACCCACCUUAGAUAGCUAGAAAAUCAAUUUAGUUGGAGCAACGCUGUUGGGUUUAGGCCCAUACAGACCGCUAGGUCGUCGGCCCAUGUGGGCCGCCCCCGCGGAGCGCCAGCAUCGUAAGAUGCGUACGGCGCGUGAGCGAGAACUAAAUUAAUUUCUAGUUAUCGUAAUAAGGUAUCUACACCUGAAUACAUAGGGUGUUAGAAGCGAACCUGGGGAACUGAAACAUCUAAGUACCCAGAGGAAAGGACAUCAAACGAGACUCCGCUAGUAGUGGCGAG